RNAcentral lists this ribosomal RNA (253 nucleotides) under uncultured bacterium. RNAcentral describes it as "partial 16S ribosomal RNA". It matches the Rfam family "Bacterial small subunit ribosomal RNA", at positions 524 to 776 of the family's 1533-position model. The record is from RNAcentral.
UACGUAGGGUGCAAGCGUUGUCCGGAAUUAUUGGGCGUAAAGAGCUUGUAGGCGGUUUGUCGCGUCUGCUGUGAAAUUUCGGGGCUCAACCCCGAACUUGCAGUGGGUACGGGCAGACUAGAGUGUGGUAGGGGAGACUGGAAUUCCUGGUGUAGCGGUGAAAUGCGCAGAUAUCAGGAGGAACACCGAUGGCGAAGGCAGGUCUCUGGGCCACUACUGACGCUGAGACACGAAAGCCAGGGGAGCGAACGGG